AGUGAACGCUGGCGGCAGGCCUAAUACAUGCCAGUCGAACGGCAGCACAGCAGAGCUUGCUCUGUGGGUGGCGAGUGGCGGACGGGUGAGGAAUACAUGGGAAUCUGCCCAGUCGUGGGGGAUAACGUAUGGAAACGUACGCUAAUACCGCAUGCGCCCUUUGGGGGAAAGCCGGGGACCUUCGGGCCUGGCGCGAUUGGAUGAGCCCAUGUUCGAUUAGCUAGUUGGCGGGGUAAAGGCCCACCAAGGCGACGAUCGAUAGCUGGCCUGAGAGGAUGAUCAGCCACACUGGGACUGAGACACGGCCCAGACUCCUACGGGAGGCAGCAGUAGGGAAUAUUGGACAAUGGGCGCAAGCCUGAUCCAGCCAUGCCGCGUGAGUGAAGAAGGCCCUCGGGUUGUAAAGCUCUUUUGUCCGGAAAGAAAAGCAUUCGGUUAAUACCCGGGUGUUCUGACGGUACCGGAAGAAUAAGCACCGGCUAACUUCGUG
RNAcentral lists this ribosomal RNA (490 nucleotides) under uncultured bacterium. RNAcentral describes it as "partial 16S ribosomal RNA". It matches the Rfam family "Bacterial small subunit ribosomal RNA", at positions 29 to 507 of the family's 1533-position model. The record is from RNAcentral.